AUUGAACGCUGGCGGCAGGCCUAACACAUGCAAGUCGAGCGGAUGAAGGGAGCUUGCUCCUGGAUUCAGCGGCGGACGGGUGAGUAAUGCCUAGGAAUCUGCCUGGUAGUGGGGGAUAACGUCCGGAAACGGGCGCUAAUACCGCAUACGUCCUGAGGGAGAAAGUGGGGGAUCUUCGGACCUCACGCUAUCAGAUGAGCCUAGGUCGGAUUAGCUAGUUGGUGGGGUAAAGGCCUACCAAGGCGACGAUCCGUAACUGGUCUGAGAGGAUGAUCAGUCACACUGGAACUGGGACACGGUCCAGACUCCUACGGGAGGCAGCAGUGGGGAAUAUUGGACGAUGGGCGAAAGCCUGAUCCAGCCAUGCCGCGUGUGUGAAGAAGGCCUUCGGAUUGUAAAGCACUUUAAGUUGGGAGGAAGGGCAGUAAGUUAAUACCUUGCUGUUUUGACGUUACCAACAGAAUAAGCACCGGCUAACUUCGUG
This 484-nucleotide ribosomal RNA is filed under the name uncultured bacterium. RNAcentral's name for it is "partial 16S ribosomal RNA". It matches the Rfam family "Bacterial small subunit ribosomal RNA", at positions 30 to 507 of the family's 1533-position model. The record is from RNAcentral.